UGUAUCCCAACCUCUAUUGCUCUCGCGUAAAGGUUUUGUUUACGCGCGCGACAAGACUACAAAUUCCCCUUUUUUUUGCAAAUCCUGUUUGUAUCGUUUGAGCGCAUGCCCAUAAGUUAUGUCAUCACCCAUCACAGCACGGCCUUUUUAUCUUCAGUAAUGUAAUGUCAUCAUCAAGCCCAAUACCUGUCCGGUCCAGCCCAUUUCAAUCAAGUUUUCCCCUCCUGUCUGUCGGUCCGCGUUGAUUGAUGAGAACUUGAAGCCUGGGUGUCCGUUUGACUUGGCGACUCCGCUGCA
RNAcentral lists this long non-coding RNA (297 nucleotides) under Setaria viridis. RNAcentral's name for it is "long non-coding RNA (SVIR_LNC011070)". Lineage: Eukaryota; Viridiplantae; Streptophyta; Magnoliopsida; Poales; Poaceae. The record is from RNAcentral.